Molecule: ribosomal RNA, 719 nt
Filed under: Listeria monocytogenes
Lineage: Bacteria; Bacillati; Bacillota; Bacilli; Caryophanales; Listeriaceae
Description: partial 23S ribosomal RNA
Rfam family: Bacterial large subunit ribosomal RNA
Source: RNAcentral
CGAGUUACGAUUUGAUGCAAGGUUAAGCAGUAAAUGUGGAGCCGUAGCGAAAGCGAGUCUGAAUAGGGCGUUUAGUAUUUGGUCGUAGACCCGAAACCAGGUGAUCUACCCUUGGUCAGGUUGAAGUUCAGGUAACACUGAAUGGAGGACCGAACCGACUUACGUUGAAAAGUGAGCGGAUGAACUGAGGGUAGCGGAGAAAUUCCAAUCGAACCUGGAGAUAGCUGGUUCUCUCCGAAAUAGCUUUAGGGCUAGCCUCAAGUGAUGAUUAUUGGAGGUAGAGCACUGUUUGGACGAGGGGCCCCUCUCGGGUUACCGAAUUCAGACAAACUCCGAAUGCCAAUUAAUUUAACUUGGGAGUCAGAACAUGGGUGAUAAGGUCCGUGUUCGAAAGGGAAACAGCCCAGACCACCAGCUAAGGUCCCAAAAUAUAUGUUAAGUGGAAAAGGAUGUGGCGUUGCCCAGACAACUAGGAUGUUGGCUUAGAAGCAGCCAUCAUUUAAAGAGUGCGUAAUAGCUCACUAGUCGAGUGACACUGCGCCGAAAAUGUACCGGGGCUAAACAUAUUACCGAAGCUGUGGAUUGUCCUUUGGACAAUGGUAGGAGAGCGUUCUAAGGGCGUUGAAGCAUGAUCGUAAGGACAUGUGGAGCGCUUAGAAGUGAGAAUGCCGGUGUGAGUAGCGAAAGACGGGUGAGAAUCCCGUCCACCGAUUGACUAA